UGAUAGCAGCAUUAGAGUUGAGCCUAUCUUGAUGAUUAGUUUUGCAGACCAUGGAAAAUUCAGUAGCCAUGGCAAUCACCUCCUCAACUUUAGGGUAAUUAUAGUUUCCAUUGAAGAGAUUGUCAUUUUUAGUCAGCCAGAUAGACCAAAGACGGUAGGGUAGGAGAGUGUCCCUGGUUAACCACUUGUUGAAUGGUUUCCCCCAUAGGGCAC
Molecule: long non-coding RNA, 213 nt
Filed under: Capsicum annuum
Lineage: Eukaryota; Viridiplantae; Streptophyta; Magnoliopsida; Solanales; Solanaceae
Description: long non-coding RNA (CANN_LNC003518)
Source: RNAcentral